Bombus impatiens (common eastern bumble bee) is the source of this 171-nucleotide long non-coding RNA. RefSeq lists it as uncharacterized. The record is from RefSeq and is a predicted model, not a curated record. NCBI's taxonomy places the organism in Eukaryota, Metazoa, Arthropoda, Insecta, Hymenoptera, Apidae. The transcript has 3 exons.
CCAAGAUGAUCACAAGAAUAAAAGACUGACACAAUCACAUUUGUCAAUUGCGUAUUGACCGGGGAUAUCGACAAAAUUCCAGGCGCCGUUACUAGGCAGACCCGCGUAGAGCCGUCAUUUCUCCUGCCCGGGGCUUGUUUGUUAAUACAGCGUGUCCCUCAACACUUCUAU